UGGCCUACGGGGGGCAGCCGUGGGGAAUAUUGCGCAAUGGGCGACAGCCUGCCGCAGCGCCGCCGCGUUCGUUCUUCCUUUCUUCUGAUCGUAAACCUCUGUCAGCAUGUACGAACGGUCACUGUGCUAAUCAGCAGUGAAUUGACGGUACCUGCAAAGGAAGCACCGGCUAACUCCGUGCCAGCAGCCGCGGUAAUACGGAGGGUGCGAGCGUUAAUCGGAAUUACUGGGCGUAAAGCGCUCGUAGGCGGUAUGUCAAGUCAA
RNAcentral lists this ribosomal RNA (264 nucleotides) under uncultured bacterium. RNAcentral's name for it is "partial 16S ribosomal RNA". It matches the Rfam family "Bacterial small subunit ribosomal RNA", at positions 335 to 591 of the family's 1533-position model. The record is from RNAcentral.